Regulatory RNA element from Lactococcus garvieae Lg2, 99 nucleotides. It matches the Rfam family "THF (Tetrahydrofolate) riboswitch aptamer". From Rfam's summary of the family: THF riboswitch presents a pseudoknot that joins P1-P2 and the loop of P3 and two THF binding. NCBI's taxonomy places the organism in Bacteria, Bacillati, Bacillota, Bacilli, Lactobacillales, Streptococcaceae. The record is from Rfam.
AACAGAGUAGGGCCAAUGCGUUAAGUGCUGUGAAAUGGGAUGUCGUUCACAGACGAAACUUGAGUUUUUCAAGUGCGGUAGAGGCUUGCAUCCGCUGAU